Molecule: unclassified non-coding RNA, 367 nt
Filed under: Hevea brasiliensis (rubber tree)
Lineage: Eukaryota; Viridiplantae; Streptophyta; Magnoliopsida; Malpighiales; Euphorbiaceae
Source: RNAcentral
GGAAGAUAGAAAUUUAAAGCCAUGAAGUUACCACACAUACUAGUUUUACAAGCAUUUGGACUAAUUAAAUUCCAAGUCCAACACUAGUGACUACUGAACAAACUCUUGAGCUCUCAAUUGCACUAUUGAAUUUGAGGCCACUUGACCCUUCUAAAGUGAAAAUGCUAUACUGCCAAGCUUCACUACUUUUAUCACUCUUAAUUCUUUCAAUAUGGUUAUGGCACAUCCAGAUCAAACUAAGUUCAUCAGAAACAUAAAAUUUUUGCCCCAAGUGCACAUAUAUUUCCCUGUUUGAGUCGCGAUGCGUCGCGAGUUUGUGCCAUAGAUUGUGGCAAAGCACUUCACCACAAAUAUGAACAUCAACAAG